Molecule: long non-coding RNA, 779 nt
Organism: Wasmannia auropunctata (little fire ant)
Lineage: Eukaryota; Metazoa; Arthropoda; Insecta; Hymenoptera; Formicidae
Exons: 3
Source: RefSeq, a predicted model, not a curated record
AUCCGACGGCUGCAUUAGGCAGUGCUGUGAUAACAAAUUAACAGCAGGAUAGCCCAAAUAGACGGAUUUUUUGACGCAUUUUUAUCAGUGCGACGAUAUCACUCGGAGCCACUUCCAGCGCCACCGGAAAAGCUCACAAGACCGCCUUAUCGUUGACUGCUUUCUCAGAAAAGUGUCGAGUUUCAUAAAAUUUAACGGUGAAAGGGAAUUUCUCGUUCUUUCGGUGGAUAAAGGCGGCGGUGUGUCGUUAGGCAUAAGUUAAUUUGCCUUCUACGCGAAAGCCGAGCUAAUGAACUAUAAAUAAGGGAGGAAUACUUGUGCCAAGUGGACACCCGCACUUACUGACCCUUCGUAAUUAAAAUCCCGUCCUAAAUCAGGACUAGGGAUGCGAUUAGACGAGGAUCGUUCCUGUUCCGUCAGCUUACCACCAAAUCCGCCGCGGCCCUUACGUAUGAGCGCUCAUCUCUCUCCCUCGGUUCUUACACGCGUGUAUGUAUUUGCAGCAGCUUACUUUACUACAAAUGUAAAGCUUCCGAAGAUACGAAUUUAAGAAAAAGAAGAAAAAAACACGGAGAGAAAUCGCAAUUUAAUACAAGUUUCCAUGCAUAACACGCGAUAAAACGAGGGAGAGUCGAGAAGAAAAUUUGUCUGAAAGGUAUAAGGGUUGCCCAUAUAAAAAAAUUAAUAUUGUAUAUAUAAUACAAUACGAGGGGUGUCCAUGUAAAAAAAAAUAUAUAUGUAUAUAUACAUGUGUAUGCCAAUAAAUGUGGAUACUACCA